This 468-nucleotide ribosomal RNA is filed under the name uncultured bacterium. RNAcentral describes it as "partial 16S ribosomal RNA". It matches the Rfam family "Bacterial small subunit ribosomal RNA", at positions 28 to 507 of the family's 1533-position model. The record is from RNAcentral.
GACGAACGCUGGCGGCGUGCUUAACACAUGCAAGUCGAACGGAAAGGCCCUGCUUUUGUGGGUUGCUCGAGUGGCGAACGGGUGAGUAACACGUGAGUAACCUGCCCUUGACUUUGGGAUAACUUCAGGAAACUGGGGCUAAUACCGGAUAGGAGCUCCUGCUGCAUGGUGGGGGUUGGAAAGUUUCGGCGGUUGGGGAUGGACUCGCGGCUUAUCAGCUUGUUGGUGGGGUAGUGGCUUACCAAGGCUUUGACGGGUAGCCUGCCUGAGAGGGUGACCGGCCACAUUGGGACUGAGAUACGGCCCAGACUCCUACGGGAGGCAGCAGUGGGGAAUAUUGCACAAUGGGCGGAAGCCUGAGGCAGCAACGCCGCGUGCGGGAUGACGGCCUUCGGGUUGUAAACCGCUUUCGCCUGUGACGAAGCGUGAGUGACGGUAAUGGGUAAAGAAGCCCCGGCUAACUACGUG